UACGCCCACAUCACGUUGAAACACCGUUUCCCAUACAAUCACAGACGUUAAGCAAAGUCGAGCCUGAUCAGUAUCUAGAUGAGUGACCGCUUUGGAGUACCAAGUACUGUAA
This is a non-coding RNA of Acanthosepion pharaonis, 112 nucleotides long. The record is from the annotation of a GenBank genome assembly. Lineage: Eukaryota; Metazoa; Mollusca; Cephalopoda; Sepiida; Sepiidae.